UAAUACGGAGGGUGCUAGCGUUGUUCGGAAUUACUGGGCGUAAAGGGCGCGUAGGCGGCCGUUUGCGUCGGAUGUGAAAGCCCGGGGCUCAACCUCGGAACGGCAUUCGAUACGGGACGGCUGGAGACCGGGAGAGGAGAGUGGAAUAGCCAGUGUAGAGGUGAAAUUCGUAGAUAUUGGCUGGAACACCGGUGGCGAAAGCGGCUCUCUGGCCCGGUUCUGACGCUGAGGCGCGAAAGCGUGGGGAGCAAACAGGAUUAGAUACCCUGGUAGUCCACGCCCUAAACGAUGUGUGCUGGGCGUCGGGGGGCUUGCCCCUCGGUGCCGGAGCUAACGCGGUAAGCACACCGCCUGGGGAGUACGGCCGCAAGGUUA
This 375-nucleotide ribosomal RNA is filed under the name uncultured bacterium. RNAcentral's name for it is "bacterial SSU rRNA". It matches the Rfam family "Bacterial small subunit ribosomal RNA", at positions 521 to 896 of the family's 1533-position model. The record is from RNAcentral.